This 1745-nucleotide long non-coding RNA is filed under the name Sus scrofa (pig). RNAcentral's name for it is "lncRNA (ENSSSCG00060030586.1)". Lineage: Eukaryota; Metazoa; Chordata; Mammalia; Artiodactyla; Suidae. The record is from RNAcentral.
UCCUUUGUGGUGCAGGGAGUUAAAGAUCCAGCAUUGUCACUUCUGUGGCUUGAGUCACUGCUGUGGCAUGAGUUUGAUCCCUGGCCCAGGAACUUUCACGUGCUGUGGGCACGGCAAAAAUAAAUAAAUAAAUAAAAGAUAUAAGAAGAGGAAAUGACACAGGGAGACAACGGAAAAGAAGGAGAUAGAAGCAGAGAUUUGAGAUAUGGGUCUCCAGCAAAGGGACACCAAGGAUUGCAAGCAAUCACCAGAAGCUGGAGAAGGAUGGGCUGAUUUUUCCCUCCAAGCCUCCAAGGAACCAACCCUACUGACAUGUCAAUUUCAAAUUCCAGCCUCCUGAAUGAUGAGAGAAUCAAUUUAUGUUCUUUUCAACCCCUGAGUUGGUAGUAAGUCGUUCUGGCAGUCCCAGGAAACUAAUACAGUGAUGCAACAACAGUUUUAAACCGAAAGAACAGAAGUGUUUAUCUGUAGGUGGUGUCCCAAUCAAACGAGACACACUGAGAAAAGUAAAAAGGAUUGACUGGAGGAUGUUGCCGGAUCUGAAAAUAGGCUGCUGCUUUAAUUAAAAACCAUCACUCUUCAUAAAUAGCCUGCAAAGAUGAACGGACUGCCCGGCUUGUUCUCAGUUAUUCUCCACAGCCGUGAACACGUUGUAUUGGAGUCGUUUGUCUUCUGCAAGGGCCCUUUCGUAUUCUCAGAGGAGGCUCUGUGUCCUCACAGAGGGACUGGCGGCUGGCAAGUCACAGAACGAGGAGACAUCAAGAGUGCUCAAGUCGCGGCUCAGUUUUCACGCUAAGAAAGAGGAUCAGUCACCUCAUUUGUGGGGCCCCAAAUGAAACUGUUGCACCUCCUCUGAUUCAAAUCUUACUGAUAAUUUCAAGACCCUGAGAGCCACCUCCACCAAGGAAUAUCUUACAGGUGUCUCUGCAGGGCGGGGCUUGAGUAAUAGACUCUUAUGAAUCCUGUGUACAUUAUUGUCAACUUUUUGGGUGUCCGCUAAUGUGGAAAAAGUGCUAUCAUGUCAGUGUUUUCCCUGACAACUCAAUAUUCUCUGGAAUUAGGGUAAGGAAUUUUCUACUUUCUCCCCAGUUAUGUUAAUUCAAACACACUUGUAACACAAUACCUCAUUUUAAGUUUCAUCUUAAAGACAGUUGCAAGCUAUAGCCCAGUUCCGAGAAUUUUGGAGAGUACUUUAAAUUUUCCUCCAGUACCCUAAUAAAGUCUCCAUCGUUUGGCAUUUUCCUUGUGGCAUUCAUUUUCAGACUUGAAAGAUGAAUGGAACAUUUCACGGAGGUAAUUCUAGGUUACUUUAUUUUAUUUUAGGUUACUUUAUUUUUUGUGGUCCAAUGGAGUGAAUAAAUCAGUGUCCGAAGUUGUAGAGAUGAUAACGUAUUAAUGUGAAUAACUGGUAAGGCCUAAAAAUUGAUUUUCUAGAACGGAGUACAGUUGAACUAUACUCAAAAUUUGUCUUUAUAAAUUAAAAAAAAAAAAAAAACAACUUUAACCUACUUUAAAGCAGAUACUUUUGAAAAAUGUGAAUGUAGAGAAGCUCCCACUACAUUAUUUUGAAUCUUCCAAAGAUGGACUGGUUGCAUUUUAAUUUAUUAUUAUUUUGGGCAUAAUGCUUCUUCACCCCUAGGGCCUAUGAAUAAAAUUAUGGUUGGAGUUAAAAUAUUCACAGGUGCUUGGUAGUUUGUUAUACCCAGGCCGUGCUUCUGGAGCCAUUUGGGGCCAUAUCUAUUACA